AUACGGAGGGUGCGAGCGUUGUUCGGAAUUAUUGGGCGUAAAGAGCAUGUAGGCGGUCUGUUAAGUCUGGUGUGAAAGCCCGGGGCUCAACCCCGGAAGUGCAUCGGAUACUGGCAGACUUGAGUAUGGGAGAGGAAAGCGGAAUUCCGAGUGUAGGAGUGAAAUCCGUAGAUAUUCGGAGGAACACCAGUGGCGAAGGCGGCUUUCUGGACCAAUACUGACGCUGAGAUGCGAAAGCGUGGGGAGCAAACAGGAUUAGAAACCCCGGUAGUCC
Molecule: ribosomal RNA, 274 nt
Filed under: uncultured bacterium
Lineage: Bacteria
Description: partial 16S ribosomal RNA
Rfam family: Bacterial small subunit ribosomal RNA
Source: RNAcentral